Molecule: ribosomal RNA, 749 nt
Filed under: bacterium enrichment culture clone 4(2013)
Lineage: Bacteria
Description: bacterial SSU rRNA
Rfam family: Bacterial small subunit ribosomal RNA
Source: RNAcentral
AGAGUUUGAUCCUGGCUCAGAUUGAACGCUGGCGGCAGGCCUAACACAUGCAAGUCGAGCGGAUGAGUGGAGCUUGCUCCAUGAUUCAGCGGCGGACGGGUGAGUAAUGCCUAGGAAUCUGCCUGGUAGUGGGGGACAACGUUUCGAAAGGAACGCUAAUACCGCAUACGUCCUACGGGAGAAAGCAGGGGACCUUCGGGCCUUGCGCUAUCAGAUGAGCCUAGGUCGGAUUAGCUAGUUGGUGAGGUAAAGGCUCACCAAGGCGACGAUCCGUAACUGGUCUGAGAGGAUGAUCAGUCACACUGGAACUGAGACACGGUCCAGACUCCUACGGGAGGCAGCAGUGGGGAAUAUUGGACAAUGGGCGAAAGCCUGAUCCAGCCAUGCCGCGUGUGUGAAGAAGGUCUUCGGAUUGUAAAGCACUUUAAGUUGGGAGGAAGGGCAGUAAGUUAAUACCUUGCUGUUUUGACGUUACCGGCAGAAUAAGCACCGGCUAACUUCGUGCCAGCAGCCGCGGUAAUACGAAGGGUGCAAGCGUUAAUCGGAAUUACUGGGCGUAAAGCGCGCGUAGGUGGUUCGUUAAGUUGGAUGUGAAAGCCCCGGGCUCAACCUGGGAACUGCAUCCAAAACUGGCGAGCUAGAGUAUGGCAGAGGGUGGUGGAAUUUCCUGUGUAGCGGUGAAAUGCGUAGAUAUAGGAAGGAACACCAGUGGCGAAGGCGACCACCUGGGCUAAUACUGACACUGAGGU